GGACUCUCCUCUCACAGCUGGAUUGAUGGACUGGUGCGAGUAUCCGGAGCUUGGGGCAAUGGGGGAUUUGUUGGUUACUUCAAGCUUUGCACAGGGUUCAGUUAUGGUGGUGCAACAAUAUAGUGGUUAUGAAGAUGAAGAUGAUGCAGACAUGGUGGUGGAUACGGGAAGUUCUGAGCAUGGAAGGGAACAAUUCAGGGAUUGGCGGGCAACAUCAGAAGAUAAUAAUCAUGGUGGUCUUGAGGAGGUGGAGCCAUUUGCAAUGAACAAAAUCAAGGAUCAUCAUCGUAGUAUUGAUGAACGUGUGUAGCGAUCGAUAUGAAUUGUCUCUUCUUUUUUCUUAAUUAAU
RNAcentral lists this unclassified non-coding RNA (349 nucleotides) under Hevea brasiliensis (rubber tree). Lineage: Eukaryota; Viridiplantae; Streptophyta; Magnoliopsida; Malpighiales; Euphorbiaceae. The record is from RNAcentral.